RNAcentral lists this ribosomal RNA (893 nucleotides) under Salmonella enterica subsp. enterica serovar Paratyphi A. Its description in RNAcentral is "16S ribosomal RNA". Lineage: Bacteria; Pseudomonadati; Pseudomonadota; Gammaproteobacteria; Enterobacterales; Enterobacteriaceae. The record is from RNAcentral.
AUCUAAUCCUGUUUGCUCCCCACGCUUUCGCACCUGAGCGUCAGUCUUUGUCCAGGGGGCCGCCUUCGCCACCGGUAUUCCUCCAGAUCUCUACGCAUUUCACCGCUACACCUGGAAUUCUACCCCCCUCUACAAGACUCAAGCCUGCCAGUUUCGAAUGCAGUUCCCAGGUUGAGCCCGGGGAUUUCACAUCCGACUUGACAGACCGCCUGCGUGCGCUUUACGCCCAGUAAUUCCGAUUAACGCUUGCACCCUCCGUAUUACCGCGGCUGCUGGCACGGAGUUAGCCGGUGCUUCUUCUGCGGGUAACGUCAAUUGCUGCGGUUAUUAACCACAACACCUUCCUCCCCGCUGAAAGUACUUUACAACCCGAAGGCCUUCUUCAUACACGCGGCAUGGCUGCAUCAGGCUUGCGCCCAUUGUGCAAUAUUCCCCACUGCUGCCUCCCGUAGGAGUCUGGACCGUGUCUCAGUUCCAGUGUGGCUGGUCAUCCUCUCAGACCAGCUAGGGAUCGUCGCCUUGGUGAGCCGUUACCUCACCAACAAGCUAAUCCCAUCUGGGCACAUCUGAUGGCAAGAGGCCCGAAGGUCCCCCUCUUUGGUCUUGCGACGUUAUGCGGUAUUAGCCACCGUUUCCAGUAGUUAUCCCCCUCCAUCAGGCAGUUUCCCAGACAUUACUCACCCGUCCGCCACUCGUCAGCAAAGCAGCAAGCUGCUUCCUGUUACCGUUCGACUUGCAUGUGUUAGGCCUGCCGCCAGCGUUCAAUCUGAGCCAUGAUCAAACUCUUCAAUUUAAAAGUUUGAUGCUCAAUGAAUUAAACUUCGUAAUGAAUUACGUGUUCACUCUUGAGACUUGGUAUUCAUUUUUCGUCNNNNNNNNNNNNNNNNNNNNGA